GAAGCCAUAGAUAAAAGGUAUACAGUUCAAAUAUUGCUUAUAAUUUAUAUUUUGACUAUCAUAUUUUCAAUAGAUUCAAACACAUCUAUGAUGAUGAAUAUAUACUAUCGGCAAUAAUUCACCCACUAUUUAAAUUUGAUUGGCCCUUGAUAAAAUUAGAGGUCAAUAAAGGAAGAAUGCUGGAACUUAUUUCCAGUUUGAGAAAAGAUAUUGAUAAAGAAAGAACAGGCUUGAUUCCUUUAUCCAACACACACACUAGAAUAUUUUCAGAUAAAGAUAAAUUUUUUUUGAUGAGGAAAUGAAUGAAGAUCUCUGUGAAGAUGAUCUUUCAAGCUUUUUUCAAAAUAAAGAUAUUUCCUUAAAUAUUUUUAAUAAAUUCCCCGAAUUGAAAAUUUUGUUUAUUAAAUAUAACACCACUCUCCCAUCCUCUGCGCCAAUUGAACGUGUGUUUAGCACGGCGAAGGCUGUGUUGAGUACUAAGCGCUCAUGUUUAUCUGAUCAAAAUUUUGAAAAUCAAUUGUUAAAAAAUUGUUACAUAAAGAUGUUAUCUUAUAAUAUAUUAUUUUUGUAUAAUUUUAUUCAUAUUAUGAUUAUAUAUGAAAAUUUUAUUAUAAAAAGAUCUUAUCUUAUAUGUUCUUUUUUUAUAGUUUUAUUUUAUUAUAUAUUGUCGGAAAAAAAUAUUCUUUUGCAUUAUAUAUAACAUUUAAUUUUUUUAAGUAACGAGUAGCCCGUUAUUUUUUUGAAAAGCUGGUAACGCGUGUUCCUUUUGUAAAAUGGUAACGAGUAACGGUAACGCGUUCCAUUUUUCAGAUGUAACGAGCAACGGUAACGCGUUUCUUUUUUGUAGUAACGUUUACAGCACUAGUUAUAAUACAUUUAUUUUAUACAGAUCUAAAUUUUAAAGCUAUAAUUUCAAAGACCAUCAUGACUAAUAUCAACUUCAUAAUUGUUUGUUGCACUAGAGCAUGACAAUAAUACUAAUCUGAACUGAUGUUUGAUGAUUCAUUUGUUAAAAAUUUGCAUACAUUGAGGUCAGUUGUAUAGCAGUCAAUGUCAUUGACUGUAGUAGACACCAUCAAAAGACUUUUUAUCUAAAUUCAAUGCAAUGGUGGACUUCAAAGUGUAUCCAUUUUAAUGAAUAAAUUGAGUCCUCAAAAUUCAGUACCUAUCACAAUAUUUCCUGUAAAAUCUUUGAUUUCUUUCAGAAGGGCAUUAUUUGGGAUGAUGGAAAUCACUAGACAGUAUAUUACUUUAUAAGUAAAACACAGCAUUGCUAGCCUUCUAAAUUGGCAGGGGUCCCAAAUUUUUAGGGAAGCCCCCUCCUCACGAUUGACAUAUAAAAAGAAAAAUGGUAAGUAUUAGAUUUUGUACUUAAUUUUUUUUCCCAGGAAAAUAAUCGAUUGUGGAGAAGCCAAUCUAAUUAUAAUAUUAUUUUUUGACUUUUACAUUUUUAUAAAAAUAGAGAAGACACUUAUUGUAAGAAAUUAUUUUUUGUUAAUAAAAUAGGCAAAUAUUAUUAGAUAUACCAUUAUCGAAAAAAAAUUAAAUCAACCCGAUAUUUAAAAACCGAUCCGAUUUUUCAAAUAAAUAUUUGAAAAAAGUAUAAUAAACUAUUAAGUUCCUGUCGUUGUAUUUUAGCCAUAGCUUAAGCCACGAGAUUUCGCAGAUAGGUGUCCAAACCUUUAUCCCCCCUAUGAGCUGAGUUAGCUAUCGCCCCAAAUCGAGUCCUUUAACAAUACUACCGGUCACCCAUUUUUAUUUAAAAAAAUGAAAACUUUUUUAGAGGCGAGUAAAAAAAAAAUAUUUUAAAAAAUAAUACAGGCGCGCUCUUUGCAGGCGAGGCAGAGAUGAGAUUAUAUUUGGUAGAAAUAAAUUUUUUAUGUCAAAAUCAGGGAUUUGAACCGAACCUGAACCCGGAGGAGUAAACCCGGGUUUUUGAUAUGAACCCGAACCUAACCUGAACCCCAUUUAUAAAAUUUUUAAAACCCCGAACCGAACCCAGGAAUUUUUAUGAACCCGGGUUCAAGCGGGUUCAGUGUAUUGUUUAAAAUCAUAUAUUAAGGUAUUUGUAUAAUUGUAAAUACAAAUAUUAAUAAUUUAAUUGAGAUUUUAUAAUAUUAUCAUUAAGUGAAGUGAUAAUAAAUUUUAAACAACUUAAUUUAUUUACGCCAUUUUUUAAUUUAUUUUAAAAUUUAAUUUCAAAGAUUCCUAUUGGAGUGUUAAAUAAAUUUAAAGCAAUUAAAUACAUUCACGCCAUUUAUUUUCAAUUUUUAACUUAGUCUCAAAGAUUUCUAAUUAAAGGAAUGAACAAGUCAAAGUAAUAAAUAUAUCCAGCCAGUUUCAUAAUCCGAGCGACACCUUCCAGGGACCUGCGAUCUAUUUUUCGGCCCUCAAUCCGAAACCUGGUGUUAUAAAAUUUUUAGGCACCGACUUUUUAUAGAUGGAAUUAUGGAAAUAUGUUUCAAACUUAAUUUCUUUAAUAUCUUCUCUAUUAUGUGCUAUGCAUUAAAUAUAAAUGUUGAGCAAAUAAAUUAUGAUUUUAUAAUAUUUCUUGAUUUUAUAAAAUGAAAAUAAAACAUACAACUGACUAUUUAAACAGCUUUUUUCUGUUUUUUUUUUAAAAAAAAAUCAUUUUUGAAUUGUGAUAUUCAAAUUAGGCAAAAAAAGCUUAGAAUAAGAAGGAAAUAUAAUAUCUUUUCGGGCCAUGGGUCAGACCUCUAUUUUUUUAUUGAUCUUGCGGGCUGGGCUGGCUGCAUGAUUCUGCAACAUAUUACUAUAAAAUUAAUUAAUAUAAAUAUAAUAAAAUUUUAAGAAGCUUAUUUCCGAAAUGAAUAUCUUUUUGUCCAACAUAUUUUAUAAAGAAUUUAAAAUAAAUAAAAAAAGGUUCCAGUUUUGACUAAUAUCUUUCAAAAUUGCUUCCAGUUCCUGUAAAUUUUAAGGGGAUUUUCCAAUUCCCCUUUAAAAAAAGGUUCUUUUUCUAAACAUUUUAACCCGAUUUCGAGUU
Long non-coding RNA from Gordionus sp. m RMFG-2023, 3004 nucleotides. RefSeq lists it as uncharacterized. The transcript is spliced from 3 exons. The record is from RefSeq and is a predicted model, not a curated record. NCBI's taxonomy places the organism in Eukaryota, Metazoa, Nematomorpha, Gordioida, Chordodea, Parachordodidae.